CCUACGGGCGGCAGCAGUGGGGAAUAUUGCACAAUGGGGGAAACCCUGAUGCAGCGAUGCCGCGUGGAGGAAGAAGGUUUUCGGAUUGUAAACUCCUUUUAUCAGGGACGAUAAUGACGGUACCUGAAGAAAAAGCUCCGGCUAACUACGUGCCAGCAGCCGCGGUAAUACGUAGGGAGCGAGCGUUGUCCGGAAUUACUGGGUGUAAAGGGAGCGUAGGCGGGACGGCAAGUCAGAUGUGAAAACUGAGGGCUCAACUUUCAGACUGCAUUUGAAACUGCUGUUCUUGAGUGCACACAGGGAUGCCGGAAUUCAUGGUGUAGCGGUGAAAUGCUUAGAUAUCAUGAAGAACUCCGAUCGCGAAGGCAAGUGUCCGGGGUGCAACUGAUGCUGAGGCUCGAAAGUGCGGGUAUCAAACAGGAUUAGAUACCCGAGUAGUC
RNAcentral lists this ribosomal RNA (440 nucleotides) under uncultured bacterium. Its description in RNAcentral is "partial 16S ribosomal RNA". It matches the Rfam family "Bacterial small subunit ribosomal RNA", at positions 338 to 795 of the family's 1533-position model. The record is from RNAcentral.